GUUGCUUUGCAUCUCUGUUUGGGUUUGAUUUCCUCUAUGGCUUGAUUUUCUCCAUAUGCUCUCCACGUUUGAUUUCUCGUAUGGCUUCAAUAAAUCUGUAUUAGGUAGGAUAAAACCUCUAUCGCUCUCUCUCUGUUUGGGUUUGAUUAUGAAUUUCUCUGUUUGGGUUUGAUAUCCUCUAUCGCUCUUCAUCUCAAAGCUAACACACCUAAUUGAUGGCCUGUGCAAUGGUUAAUGUAUCUCCUACCUAUACUGGAAUCCAGGAAAGCUGUCUAGGGUUUGGAAUCUAUAGCAGGUUUGAAACCCGGUGGCAUUGUUCAGUUAAAGGUUAUGUAUUGAUUAUGUUCUUUGCUAUGCUUUGGUUUAGGUAUGCUUAAUCCCUCCAUCGAUAAUGUCUUUAUUUUCUUCCACAUAGAACUGUUUGUUUUGUUACAGUUCAAAUGAAAUCGGCAAAAAGGGGAGAAGACAUCAUCGUUUUGCUUUGGUUCUUGAACAAAGGGUGAAGACUUCCGAAAGGGAGCUGGAUGCUGCCAUUUCAGCUGCGGCUUAUGCUCGUACAGAAAAACGUCAGGGGACAGAAGGCUGCUGAAUUACUAGCACUGGAAAUCACAAAGGAGUUGGAGAACACCACAAGUUUUCAGCACAACAAACAUGACCUUGUAGGCAGAAUUGGUGGGGUUGUUGAACUCUUGGAGCUUACAAGAACAUCAUAUACAUGUCUUGUAUGCAAUAAAACGUUUGUCUCUUCAUUUUCAUCAUUCGACAUUCAGAUUUUGGGUUCCAAUUUUACUUGUUUGGGCAUGAAAUUAUAUACACAGGUAGGUGAACCCAUCUCAAUGUAGAACUAUGUUAUUUCUCUUAAAAUCAAAUUUUAGAAUAUGUCGUUCAAAAACGAUAGAUAUUCUUCUCACUUUGUCAUUUUAAACAUUUUUAUUGCUUUAAUCUGUAAAUUUUCUAUUAUAACAUGAACGUUUAGACUAUAUAGUUCUAAUAUGGUGUAAUAGGUGUACAAGGUUUUCAAAAAGAUUGGGACGACCUUGUUGGAUGGAUGGUCAAACUUCUAGAUAGAAGAGGAUGAGGUUUCAUAAAAUGAUGUCUCUCUCUCGAUUGUUUUAUAGUCAUUGCAAUAGUUUGCAACUUGAGGCCUUGGCCAACCAGUUUCAGACUCUUAACCAUUUAAUGAUAUAUGACUUAUGGCUUUUAGGAAAGCAUAAAAAAUGCCAUGACGUCUACACUCCAACCUCAUAUGAUUAAAACAACAUGCUUUGUCACUUUUUACUUUACCAUAUGGUAUAUAUUUUGUAAAAGAGGCAUCCUUAAGUCAAACGGUGUUUUAUUUGGAAAAAAUGUAUUUGCACUAGAUGAUGGAUGUCUUAUGCUUGCCUCUAUGACUCCCGAGUUAUUGAGGGAUCAUGAAUAUAUGUCAGUCUGGGAUAUGAUAUCCUCUCUAAAUCAAUGAUUUAAUUACAGGCUAGGAAGGAAACGUUGAAACAGUCAAGGCAUUGCAUGCUUAUAUGAUGACUGAGUGUCAUCAGUUGGUGCCUAUGUUUUGAAAAUGAAGGGGUACAUUGACUAGUUGUCCCGUCUAGGCUUCCCAUUGGAAAAUGAAUUAGCAAUCAAUCUGACUUUUAAUUCUAUACCUAAAUCAUACGACUAGUUCACCCUGAACUAUAAUAUGAACGGUUUGGAUGAGUCUCUUACAGAGCUUCAUGACAUUGCUUAAAACUACUAAGAGAAGUAUAAAUUCCAAAUUGAUGAUCAAAUCUAAAAGUGGGAUUGUCAAGAAAAGGAGGGUGGUUGUCGAGGGAAAUACAAAAGUUGGAAGUUCCAACAAAGAUGGUAAAGAAAAGAUUCUCAAGGAUUCAAUAUGGUACAACUGCAAUCACAAAGGGCACCAGAAGAAGGCAGAGCAAAAGAAGUAGAAGGAUUGUCGGAGCUUCGGAACCCUUAUUGGGACCAACCCAUCCCAAGGCAACCGGUCAAGGGAAUCUCGAUCAGGGCAUUAGCUUUGCAGGGGGAGAGGCCUUCUUAGAACCAACAAUCCUACUCAAACAAGGGCAAAUGGUUAGCUGAAGAGAACUUGACGAUUCUUCACAAUGUUAAGGGGGAGCUCAACUUACCUAAGAUUUUUUUGAACGCCAAAGAUUUGCUUUCUUUCUACCAACCUGAAUCUGAAGCUGAAGACAAUCAUGCUGACCUGAUUCUUAGAGGACCUUUAUGAGCUAAAUUUCAUAUAUGUUCAGAAGUAUAAGAGUCAAAGAGGAUGGCGCAGCUGAUCUCCCAGCUCGGCAGUACCAGGGUAAAAAUACCUCUUCGUACCCCUAAUGAUGACUUCAACUUCCUCACUAAAGAUGAAUGUAAGGAAGCUCUGAAAGCUGAAGAGGAGAUGGAGAUGCAUCAAAGGAAGAUGAGGGAAAUCAUUGAGUUGGCAAAUGCUCUUGCCAAUGAAACUCAUGCUCAAGGGAAGUUCCAAAGAAACAAUCCUCUCGGUGCUCAAGACUACUACUCUUUGAAGCUGAACAAGAACAUCAAAAGGAGCUUGCAUUGAAGGAUGGUGAGCUAAAAUGGCGCAAAGAAAAAUCGAGACAAGGUUGAACAAUCAGCGAAUAACUAAUGUCAUUAACUUGAGACGAAUGAAGGAUGAUGAUCUUCUUGUAUCAAUGGUCAUCUUGAGAGAAGAUCACAGUGCUAUCACUGAAUAUCCUUAUUUUCUGAAGAUGUAUGGGUUCUAUGAAUGACUGGAGAUUUGACAUGCC
Long non-coding RNA from Cynara cardunculus var. scolymus (artichoke), 2756 nucleotides. RefSeq lists it as uncharacterized. The record is from RefSeq and is a predicted model, not a curated record. Lineage: Eukaryota; Viridiplantae; Streptophyta; Magnoliopsida; Asterales; Asteraceae. The transcript has 5 exons.